UGUUCAGGGGUAAACCUGUGGUUCCCGAAAGUUCGAACGGGGAGAUUCAAUUGCCUCGCCGGUUAUGACAAUUUAACAGUGAUAUGUUUAUAUAUAUAUUAGAGACAUUAUAUGGCGGUUGCGGGUUUAUUCUCGUAGCUGUUUCUGUGUAGUGCUCCACUGUUUUAUGAUAUAUAGUUUAUAGCCGGAGGCAUGCACUUCUCCCCUUGUAGGACGUCGUGACCCAUUGGAUUAUGUUGUCUAAGGCUUAUAAUGGAGACCGUGACAUUAGGGCCGAAAGGCCUCAAUGAUCCGGACUUAUAAUGUCCCGACAUCUAUCCGAUGGUAUAAUUAUGAUGAUAGAUCGCUAUAAAUGCGUAUGAGCGUUCAGAUCCAUAACAAAUUCUUUAUAUGAUAUUUAAAUAGUGGAAAUCGGAUUUAAUGCCGAUUCUACACAUAUGGUAUUGAUAGUUAUGGUAUUCUCGAACCGUUCUUUAUCAUCAGUCAACGGCGUUUAUGUUUUGGGUAAUUACAGGACCCGUCUUGAAACACGGACCAAGGAGUCUAGCAUGUGCGCAAGUCAUUGGGACUUUGUGAAACCUAAAGGCGUAAUGAAAGUGAAAUAUUUGUGAAUUUUCGUAAUUCACUGAAUUUAAGGGAAGAUGGGUAACGGUUUUUAUGUUACCUCGCAUUCCCGGGGCGUCGCGUACUUAUUGCAAGUUGCGGCGCACCAAGAGCGUACACGCUGGGACCCGAAAGAUGGUGAACUAUGCCUGGUCAGGAUGAAGUCAGGGGAAACCCUGAUGGAGGUCCGUAGCGAUUCUGACGUGCAAAUCGAUCGUAUGAACUGGGUAUAGGGGCGAAAG
Molecule: ribosomal RNA, 845 nt
Filed under: Calathus auctus
Lineage: Eukaryota; Metazoa; Arthropoda; Insecta; Coleoptera; Carabidae
Description: eukaryotic LSU rRNA
Rfam family: Eukaryotic large subunit ribosomal RNA
Source: RNAcentral